This 1382-nucleotide long non-coding RNA is filed under the name Callithrix jacchus (white-tufted-ear marmoset). RNAcentral's name for it is "lncRNA (ENSCJAG00000086343.1)". The record is from RNAcentral. Lineage: Eukaryota; Metazoa; Chordata; Mammalia; Primates; Cebidae.
AGACAUGUAAUUAGUAUCACAGAAUUGUCUUUCAGGAGCUUAGAAUUCCUAUGACCUUAUUGGAGCAGGGGGUGGGAAACUACAAGGAAACUGACAUGAAGAUACAUAAUAACAGGAAGUAGGAGUAGCAAAAGGAAAAGGAGGAGGAGAAAGAGAAGGAAAGUAAAAGGAAACAGGCCAAUAUCCCCAGCUGCCCCCAACCCCUGCCCACCCUGGGAACACUCAUUUCACGGUCUCUGCUGUUUCUGCCCUCUGCUCCAGCAUCAACCCCCAGCUCCGUAUCUGUUGAAAAAUCAGAAGAUUCAGCAAUACUAGGCGCACCACCCCUGAUGAAAAAAUCCUCCUGGAUCCAGGAUGAAGCAAACUGCUUCACGAGAAGCCCUAGAGAAGAACACACAGCACCUUGAAACAUCUUUGGUGUGUUUGCCCUGUGCUGAGGCCUUUGCAAUGAGAGCGGCAUCUCUCUGGUUCCUGGAUAGCUCACUCUGGAGUGCUGCAUCCCUGUAUGUCGAGAGAAGGAUAGAGCUAGGAUUUCACAAAGGGCCUCAGAAACCAAACUUCAAAUGGACAUCAUGGCUUCCUAAUUGCUUUCUUCGCUGCUACCCACAGAGCUGUUUCUGGCACCUGAAUAACUGGCUUCCACCAGAUACUCCAUUGGAAGGUAUUAAAGAUUUUCCACUUAAAGUUUUCUCAAAGCUGUGAAUUGUCACAUCACCCCACCCUUCCUCCUGCACAGGAUGCCACAGAGCUGGGUCUACAGAGGACAUGACUUGGUUUCCAUCAGCUGUGGCAGGGUUUCACUGUCAUUUGAAAUGACUAACUAGAUUGUGACUCUCUUGGGGGUCUUGGAAGGACAGAAAGCUGUGAUUAAAUGCAAGAGACUUCAAGCCUUUUCUGUCUUCCUAGGGGCAGGUAGUAUCUAACCAAAUUUGGAGUAUGGGGUUGGUAGCUUCAUGCUUGAAUUAUAGGUUCUAAUCCUAGAAGAUUGAUUUAUGUCCCAAUGAUAUAAGAUUUAUGCCAGAAAUAGAGCCCCCCCGCCGCACCAUAUGUAUACAUGUAUAUUUUUCUGCUGUUUCCCAGCUUUUGGAGUAUUUCAGAAAUGUAAGCCAUAAGAUACUGUGAAUGUGUCCUACUCAGUGUGCAUAGCAUGGGAAUACCAGCAGGGCUGCAUUUUUCUUAACAGUGUAUGAGAUUCUAGAUUCAUGUCUUUCCCAGGUUAUUCUCUUCUUGCAAGUCUCUUCCCCUUCCCCACUCUUCGGUCACAGGGUUUCUGUCCUACAACUCACCGACGAGAGCGAAAAAACUCAGCACCUCACACACACACAUUUGCUUGAUAAGAAAUUGGAGGAGGUUGAAUUGCCACAGUGAACGAAGGCCUCGGG